UAAGGAAUAUUGGUCAAUGGACGCAAGUCUGAACCAGCCAUGCCGCGUGGAGGAUGAAGGUCCUCUGGAUUGUAAACUUCUUUUAUCUGGGAAGAAAUCACUUUUUUCUAAAGGUGUUGACGGUACCAGAUGAAUAAGCACCGGCUAACUCCGUGCCAGCAGCCGCGGUAAUACGGAGGGUGCAAGCGUUAUCCGGAUUCACUGGGUUUAAAGGGUGCGUAGGCGGAAUGGUAAGUCCGUGGUGAAAUCUCCGAGCUUAACUCGGAAACUGCCGUGGAUACUAUCAUUCUUGAAUGUUGUGGAGGUUUGCGGAAUAUGUCAUGUAGCGGUGAAAUGCUUAGAUAUGACAUAGAACACCGAUUGCGAAGGCAGCAGGCUACACAAAUAUUGACGCUGAGGCACGAAAGCGUGGGGAUCAAACA
RNAcentral lists this ribosomal RNA (422 nucleotides) under uncultured Chitinophaga sp. RNAcentral describes it as "bacterial SSU rRNA". It matches the Rfam family "Bacterial small subunit ribosomal RNA", at positions 355 to 774 of the family's 1533-position model. Lineage: Bacteria; Pseudomonadati; Bacteroidota; Chitinophagia; Chitinophagales; Chitinophagaceae. The record is from RNAcentral.